CCUUGCUUUUUAACCUCCCAGAAGCAUGACAGUGUAGCAAGUGGAGGUGCGAAGAUCCUUUGAUCCCUGAGAUAUGCACAGUCCUGUCCUAUUUGACAGGGCUUGACACUGCUGACUGCUUGUGAGGGACGCUGCAGAGAUGUAAUGAUGCCUUGUUUUUACUCUAAUGAUCUAGUAACAAGGUCUAUGUGACUGUCCCCUCAUUAUUACACGUUCUUUUCUUAUCAUGUAAAUAAAUGCAGCCAGCAGCCUGGCUGGUGAAGGCGUGA
Long non-coding RNA from Lepidothrix coronata (blue-crowned manakin), 269 nucleotides. RefSeq lists it as uncharacterized. The transcript is spliced from 2 exons. The record is from RefSeq and is a predicted model, not a curated record. Lineage: Eukaryota; Metazoa; Chordata; Aves; Passeriformes; Pipridae.